Molecule: ribosomal RNA, 332 nt
Filed under: Aphanomyces stellatus
Lineage: Eukaryota; Oomycota; Saprolegniomycetes; Saprolegniales; Verrucalvaceae
Description: partial large subunit ribosomal RNA
Rfam family: Bacterial large subunit ribosomal RNA
Source: RNAcentral
UAUUUUAGUGGUUAUUUCCAGAUAAUUCCAAACCAGAGACUGUUAAAAAAGGGAUUCAGUUAAGAAAAAAAGCAAUUGUGCCGCAGACAUAAAUACUUAAAUGUAUUACAUUUAUAAAUAGAUUUUGUCAUCUUUUAUACGUGGAUUUGACUGUAUAAUGCAACCUGGUGAAACUGGAGAAAAAAAACCAAUAACCGUACCCUAAACCAACACAGGUGGAUAGGUCGAGUAGACUAAGGUGUAUGAGAUAAUUAUGUUGAAGGAACUCGGCAAAAUGACUCUGUAACUUCGGGAGAAAGAGUACCUUUUUUAUUAGUGACUUUUUAAAGAAG